This 829-nucleotide ribosomal RNA is filed under the name uncultured bacterium. RNAcentral describes it as "bacterial SSU rRNA". It matches the Rfam family "Bacterial small subunit ribosomal RNA", at positions 66 to 885 of the family's 1533-position model. The record is from RNAcentral.
GGGGAGCGAAGCUUGCUUUGCUCCGCCGGCGACCGGCGCACGGGUGAGUAACGCGUAUGCAACCUGCCCGUUUCAGCGGGAUAACCCGGAGAAAUCCGGCCUAAUACCGCAUGUGGCCGAGGGAAGGCAUCUUCUUUCGGCCAAAGGAGGCGACUCCGGAGACGGAUGGGCAUGCGUGACAUUAGCUUGUUGGCGGGGUAACGGCCCACCAAGGCGACGAUGUCUAGGGGUUCUGAGAGGAAGGUCCCCCACACUGGUACUGAGACACGGACCAGACUCCUACGGGAGGCAGCAGUGAGGAAUAUUGGUCAAUGGGCGAGAGCCUGAACCAGCCAAGUCGCGUGAAGGAUGACGGCCCUACGGGUUGUAAACUUCUUUUGUCAGGGAGCAAUUGAGUCCACGUGUGGGCUUAGCGAGAGUACCUGAAGAAAAAGCAUCGGCUAACUCCGUGCCAGCAGCCGCGGUAAUACGGAGGAUGCGAGCGUUAUCCGGAUUUAUUGGGUUUAAAGGGUGCGUAGGCGGAAUAUCAAGUCAGCGGUAAAAAUUCGGGGCUCAACCCCGUCGUGCCGUUGAAACUGAUGUUCUUGAGUGGGCGAGAAGUAUGCGGAAUGCGUGGUGUAGCGGUGAAAUGCAUAGAUAUCACGCAGAACUCCGAUUGCGAAGGCAGCAUACCGGCGCCCAACUGACGCUGAAGCACGAAAGCGUGGGUAUCGAACAGGAUUAGAUACCCUGGUAGUCCACGCAGUAAACGAUGAAUGCUAAUUGUCCGGAGGGAUUGACCUCUGGGUGAUACAGCGAAAGCGUUAAGCAUUCCACCUGGGGAGUACGU